This 447-nucleotide ribosomal RNA is filed under the name uncultured bacterium. Its description in RNAcentral is "bacterial SSU rRNA". It matches the Rfam family "Bacterial small subunit ribosomal RNA", at positions 329 to 792 of the family's 1533-position model. The record is from RNAcentral.
UUCCAGACUCCUACGGGAGGCAGCAGUGGGGGAUAUUGCACAAUGGGGGGAACCCUGAUGCAGCGACGCCGCGUGGGUGAAGGAGUGCUUCGGCAUGUAAAGCCCUAUCGGCAGGGAAGAAGCAGGACGGUACCUGACUAAGAAGCCCCGACUAAAUACGUGCCAGCAGCCGCGGUAAUACGUAUGGAGCAAGCGUUAUCCGGAAUUACUGGGUGUAAAGGGAGCGUAGGCGGCAAGGCAAGUCUGAUGUGAAAACCCAGGGCCCAACCCUGGGACUGCAUUGGAAACUGUAUUGCUUGAGUACCGGAGAGGCAGGCGGAAUUCCUAGUGUAGCGGUGAAAUGCGUAGAUAUUAGGAGGAACACCAGUGGCGAAGGCGGCCUGCUGGACGGUAACUGACGCUGAGGCUCGAAAGCGUGGGGAGCAAACAGGAUUAGAUACCCGAGUA